AGAUAACGAGGAAGAGGGGAAUGAGGUUGAGAAGAGAUAACGAGGAAGAGGGGAAUGAGGUUGAGAAGAGAUAAUGAGGAAGAGGGAGAGGGAAAUUAGGUUGAGAAUAGAUAAUGAGGAAGAGGGAGAGGGAAGUGGGGUUGAGAAGAGGGGAAUGAGUUUGAGAAGAGAUAACGAGGAAGAGGGGAUUGAGGUUGAGAAGAGGGGAAUGAGUUUGAGAAGAGAUAACGAGGAAGAGGAAAAUUAGGUUGAGAAGAGAGAAGGUUGAGGUUGAGAAGAGAGAAGAGGGGAAUGAGUUUGAGAAGAGAUAACGAGGAAGUUGUUUGUGUUUUUAUAUUUGUGCUGGAGUCGUCUUGGACAUUUUAGAGCCUUUCCAGACCAUCAGUGUUUCUCAUAUAUAUACAGUGCCUUGCGAAAG
Oncorhynchus tshawytscha (Chinook salmon) is the source of this 418-nucleotide long non-coding RNA. The record is from Ensembl. NCBI's taxonomy places the organism in Eukaryota, Metazoa, Chordata, Actinopteri, Salmoniformes, Salmonidae.